RNAcentral lists this ribosomal RNA (302 nucleotides) under uncultured bacterium. RNAcentral describes it as "bacterial SSU rRNA". It matches the Rfam family "Bacterial small subunit ribosomal RNA", at positions 28 to 334 of the family's 1533-position model. The record is from RNAcentral.
GACGAACGCUGGCGGCGUGCUUAACACAUGCAAGUCGAACGGUAAGGCCCUUCGGGGUACACGAGUGGCGAACGGGUGAGUAACACGUGAGUAACCUGCCCUUGACUCUGGGAUAACAGCCGGAAACGGUUGCUAAUACCGGAUAUGAGCCCCUACCGCAUGGUGGGGGUUGGAAAGCUCCGGCGGUCAUGGAUGGACUCGCGGCCUAUCAGCUUGUUGGUGAGGUAGUGGCUCACCAAGGCUUCGACGGGUAGCCGGCCUGAGAGGGCGACCGGCCACAUUGGGACUGAGAUACGGCCCAA